Molecule: ribosomal RNA, 788 nt
Filed under: uncultured Alphaproteobacteria bacterium
Lineage: Bacteria; Pseudomonadati; Pseudomonadota; Alphaproteobacteria
Description: bacterial SSU rRNA
Rfam family: Bacterial small subunit ribosomal RNA
Source: RNAcentral
AAGGUAGCAUACUUAGUGGCAGACGGGUGAGUAACAUGUAGGUAUCUACCCUUUGGCCUGGAAUAACACGAGGAAACUUGUGCUAAUACCGGAUAAGUCUUUACGGAGAAAGCUUUAUGCACCAUUGGAUGAGCCUGCACUUGAUUAGUUUGUUGGUAGGGUAAUGGCCUACCAAGACUGUGAUCAAUAGCUGAUUUGAGAGGAUGAUCAGCCACAUUGGGACUGAGACACGGCCCAAACUCCUACGGGAGGCAGCAGUGGGGAAUCUUGCACAAUGGAGGAAACUCUGAUGCAGCGAUGCCGCGUGAGUGAAGAAGGCCUUUGGGUUGUAAAGCUCUUUCGUCGGGGAAGAAAAUGACUGUACCUGAAUAAGAAGGUCCGGCUAACUUCGUGCCAGCAGCCGCGGUAAUACGAAGGGACCUAGCGUAGUUCGGAAUUACUGGGCUUAAAGAGUUCGUAGGUGGUUGAAAAAGUUGGUGAUGAAAUCCCAGAGCUUAACUCUGGAAACUGGCAUCAAAACUUUUCAGCUAGAGUAUGAUAGAAGGAAGCAGAAUUCUAGUGGUAGAGGUGAAAUCCGUAGAUAUUAGAAAGAAUACCCAUUGCAAAGGCAGCUUGCGGGAUCUUUACUGACACUGGAGGAACGAAAGGCAUGGGUAGGCGAGAGGGAUAUGAUACCUUCGUUAUCCAUGGCCGGAACAGACGGUGUGUAGAACGUGGAGAAUUUUAUACAGUGGUCGGGGGAACGGAAAACACACGGCGUGGGGGAUACACCGCAGGUUACACCCACU